RNAcentral lists this ribosomal RNA (426 nucleotides) under uncultured bacterium. Its description in RNAcentral is "bacterial SSU rRNA". It matches the Rfam family "Bacterial small subunit ribosomal RNA", at positions 357 to 775 of the family's 1533-position model. The record is from RNAcentral.
GGGAAUUUUGGACAAUGGGCGCAAGCCUGAUCCAGCCAUGCCGCGUGCAGGAAGAAGGCCUUCGGGUUGUAAACUGCUUUUGUCAGGGAAGAAAUCCUUUGGGCUAAUACCCCGAAGGGAUGACGGUACCUGAAGAAUAAGCACCGGCUAACUACGUGCCAGCAGCCGCGGUAAUACGUAGGGUGCGAGCGUUAAUCGGAAUUACUGGGCGUAAAGCGUGCGCAGGCGGCUUUGCAAGACAGAUGUGAAAUCCCCGGGCUCAACCUGGGAACUGCAUUUGUGACUGCAAGGCUAGAGUGCGGCAGAGGGAGAUGGAAUUCCGCGUGUAGCAGUGAAAUGCGUAGAUAUGCGGAGGAACACCGAUGGCGAAGGCAAUCUCCUGGGCCUGCACUGACGCUCAUGCACGAAAGCGUGGGGAGCAAACAG